CCGUAACUAUAACGGUCCUAAGGUAGCGAAAUUCCUUGUCGGGUAAGUUCCGACCCGCACGAAAGGCGUAAUGAUUUGAGCACUGUCUCGACAAUGCAUCCGGUGAAAUUGAAGUACCAGUGAAGAUGCUGGUUACCCGCGCCAGGACGGAAAGACCCCAUGGAGCUUUACUCCAGUUUGGUACUGGGAUUCGGUACUGCAUGUACAGGAUAGGUGGGAGACUGAGAAAUUGGAACGCCAGUUUCAAUGGAGUCACUGUUGGGAUACCACCCCUGCAGUAUUGGGUUUCUAACCAGCCGCUGUGAUCCAGCGGUGGGACAAUGCCAGGCGGGGAGUUUGACUGGGGCGGUCGCCUCCGAAAGGGUAUCGGAGGCGCUCAAAGGUUCCCUCAGAAUGGUCGGAAACCAUUCGAAGAGUGCAAAGGCAGAAGGGAGCUUGACUGCGACACCGACGGGUGGAGCAGGUACGAAAGUAGGACUUAGUGAUCCGGUGGUAUAAAGUGGGAUUGCCAUCGCUCAACGGAUAAAAGCUACCCUGGGGAUAACAGGCUUAUCACUCCCAAGAGUUCACAUCGACGGAGUGGUUUGGCACCUCGAUGUCGGCUCAUCGCAUCCUGGGGCUGUAGCAGGUCCCAAGGGUUGGGCUGUUCGCCCAUUAAAGCGGUACGCGAGCUGGGUUCAGAACGUCGUGAGACAGUUCGGUCCCUAUCUGUCGUGGGCGAAGGAUAUUUGAAAGGAGCUGUCCCUAGUACGAGAGGACCGGGAUGGACGCACCUCUGGUGCACCGGUUGUCGUGCCAACGGCACAGCCGGGCAGCUAAGUGCGGAACGGAUAAACGCUGAAGGCAUCUAAGCGUGAAACCGCCCUUAAGAUAAGAUAUCCCAUCGAAAGAGUAAGACCCCUCAAAGACUAUGAGGUUGAUAGGCCUAUGGUGUAAGCAUGGUGACAUGUUCAGCCUGCAGGUACUAAUCGGUCGAGGGCUUGACCUU
Molecule: ribosomal RNA, 988 nt
Filed under: human gut metagenome
Description: bacterial LSU rRNA
Rfam family: Bacterial large subunit ribosomal RNA
Source: RNAcentral